Molecule: ribosomal RNA, 870 nt
Filed under: Septorioides strobi
Lineage: Eukaryota; Fungi; Ascomycota; Dothideomycetes; Botryosphaeriales; Septorioideaceae
Description: SSU rRNA
Rfam family: Eukaryotic small subunit ribosomal RNA
Source: RNAcentral
UUCGGGGCUCCUUGGUGAUUCAUGAUAACUUAACGAAUCGCAUGGCCCUUGCGCCGGCGAUGGUUCAUUCAAAUUUCUGCCCUAUCAACUUUCGAUGGUAGGAUAGUGGCCUACCAUGGUAUCAACGGGUAACGGGGAAUUAGGGUUCUAUUCCGGAGAGGGAGCNUGAGAAACGGCUACCACAUCCAAGGAAGGCAGCAGGCGCGCAAAUUACCCAAUCCCGACACGGGGAGGUAGUGACAAUAAAUACUGAUACAGGGCUCUUUUGGGUCUUGUAAUUGGAAUGAGUACAAUUUAAAUACCUUAACGAGGAACAAUUGGAGGGCAAGUCUGGUGCCAGCAGCCGCGGUAAUUCCAGCUCCAAUAGCGUAUAUUAAAGUUGUUGCAGUUAAAAAGCUCGUAGUUGAACCUUGGGCCUGGCUGGCCGGUCCGCCUCACCGCGUGUACUGGUCCGGCCGGGCCUUUCCUUCUGGGGAACCGCAUGCCCUUCACUGGGUGUGCUGGGGAACCAGGACUUUUACUUUGAAAAAAUUAGAGUGUUCAAAGCAGGCCUUUGCUCGAAUACAUUAGCAUGGAAUAAUAGAAUAGGACGUGCGGUCCUAUUUUGUUGGUUUCUAGGACCGCCGUAAUGAUUAAUAGGGAUAGUCGGGGGCGUCAGUAUUCAAUUGUCAGAGGUGAAAUUCUUGGAUUUAUUGAAGACUAACUACUGCGAAAGCAUUCGCCAAGGAUGUUUUCAUUAAUCAGUGAACGAAAGUUAGGGGAUCGAAGACGAUCAGAUACCGUCGUAGUCUUAACCGUAAACUAUGCCGACUAGGGAUCGGACGAUGUUAUUAUUUUGACUCGUUCGGCACCUUACGAGAAAUCAAAGUC